Molecule: long non-coding RNA, 2198 nt
Organism: Dreissena polymorpha
Lineage: Eukaryota; Metazoa; Mollusca; Bivalvia; Myida; Dreissenidae
Exons: 3
Source: RefSeq, a predicted model, not a curated record
UUCAAAGCAAUUUCUACAAGUUUAAAUUCCUUAACCCUGUCCAAGUGGUAUACACACUGUUUUUUCUCAAUAUCAAACUCAGCCAGUCCAGGUUGUCAAAUAACAAUCUAUCUGAUAACCCCAGCGUGUGCUUUGCAUCAGAUGUUGGGUAUGUUUGCUGCAAAUCUAUUGGUUAUAAGAUAUAACAGCCUUUUCUAAUUGGCUGAAUUCAAAUACAGAAAGUUUACCUGUUAGAUUGAAACAUGAAACAUGGUGGACAAUGUACUGGUUUAACUUGUUAAAAUAAAGUUAAAGAAAUUUAACAAACAGAAGAGUUCAUGAGUUUUUCCAUUAAAAACACUUUCUUAAAAUACUUAUGUAUUUAUAUCAUUUGGAAAGUGACACGAAAUAUUGCUAAAGAGUGAUGCAUACAGUGUUUGAGCAGUCUGUCUAGGAAUAGAACAACAACUGAAGUUGAUGGAAGAUACUGCAGAGUUUGGCAGGGAAAUAAUCCAACAGCAAAGCGGCUCUUUAAGCGCAUUUACCUAGAGGACUUACAGGGCCACAAAUUCAUGAGCACAUGUGAGCAGUAUACAAUUGUACCUCAUACCAAAAAGGACCCGGAGGCAGUGACUGGUGUUCAAUAUUCUCAGAAGAAAAGGAAAAUGGCAGUGGAAGACUUGGACAAACAUUUUUAAAAACUAGCCUCUGUGUUAAGCCUUGCAGUCUGUGGCUGUUGACAUGUUUUAUUUUGGUAAAUUCUUGUAUAAAAAAGACCAGUUAUUUAUUUUGUGAAUUGUAUUUUGUGUUUGUUUUUUGUCUUAAUUUAUUUGUUUUUUUUUAAUUUAGGAAUUUGAAACUUGGAUAAUUGAAUAAAGUCCAUGUUCAACAGUACUGAGCAUAGUAUAAUAAAUAACAAAUUUACAACAGUUGUUUAUUUGUUAUGUAUUAUUAUUAACUAUGCUCAGUACUUGAAAACUGGCUGUCUGCAUGGGAAUUUGUUUUCUAGAAAGUUGGUUUCAGACUUAAAUAUUUGAAGCUAACCUUCGGAACUUUUCUAGAAUUGCACUGGAACACAUCAACUAGAACUGAACUUCUGUUAUCAUACUGAAAGUGUUCUAGAAUUAAUAAGGAACAGUUGUUGAAAGUUAAAAUUUAUGUGAAAAAACUUUAGAACAAUUGUGCGUGAUGUGUGUGUGCAUGUAAUUGUGUGUGUUUAUGAACAUACACUUCAAAACCGUUAUUUCGAAGUCGUCGGGACCGUUAAAAAAACUUCGGAUUAACUAUAAUUCGAAAUAAACAUUUGACAGAAGACUUCUUUGAUUCUGUGAAAAUAAAACGUUGUGGAAGUCGCAUGGUUCGGUUACACGCUUUCUUAAAAGCGUAAACAAGUCAUAUAGCAAUAGAUUUCCACUUGUAACAAACGGAGGAAUAAAAAGAUCCUUUUUCUUGUUUUUAUUUUUGUCUAAUUACAGAACAUAUAAAAUAUAACGAAUAGCACAAAUUAUCAGACAUACAAACAUAUGAAUACAUUUUCGGAAAUGAAUUAACUUUUUUUUAACUAAUACGCAAUGUCUCUCUGAACACCAGCUUUCGCACAGACGACAAAGGUGUAAUUAUUGGCUUUUGACGUGCCACGACAAGGUGUGAAAAUACGCUCAGUAUUUUGCAGUUUUGACUUCGGAUUAAAGAUUGAUAAUAAGGUGGGAAUUAUAGUGUUGGGACCGACUGAAUCACUUCGAAAUAACGAUUUCUUCGGUUUAACGAAGUUCGGAUUAACAAUGAAAUUUUAUAUUAAACAAAGAAGAACCAAAAUCGGGACCCGAAAAAUACUUCGAAAUAACGGUGACUUCGGAUUAUCGGUGUUCGAAAUAACGGUGUUGAAGUGUAUGUGAGAAAGGAAGUAUACUUGUAAUAAGAGAAAUGUAAAAUUCUACUUUUAUGUUUUAUAUUGUGCCUUUUAUAAGUUUUUCUUUUCUCACCUGUAUAUGCCGUCAUGUUUAUGGAUGUGUUUUUGAAUGUGUGCAUGCAUGCCUGUGGUUAAGAGAGUUGGUACUUUAUGAAAAUGUAAAACCACUCAUUUUUGAAUAUGUACUGUGACUGCAUGUGUGUGGUAAAUGAUUGAUGCCAGAUCUUGUUCUUGUUUAACUUCUAUGAUGAAACCUUUAGUUACAUUCACAUUUGUUUUUCAAAAUCGAUAAAAUGCCUUUGAUCUAUAA